GACGAACGCUGGCGGCGUGCUUAACACAUGCAAGUCGAACGGUAAGGCCCUUCGGGGUACACGAGUGGCGAACGGGUGAGUAACACGUGGGUGAUCUGCCCUGCACUUCGGGAUAAGCCUGGGAAACUGGGUCUAAUACCGGAUAGGACCACUGCCUGCAUGGGUGGUGGUGGAAAGCUUUUGCGGUGUGGGAUGGGCCCGCGGCCUAUCAGCUUGUUGGUGGGGUGAUGGCCUACCAAGGCGACGACGGGUAGCCGGCCUGAGAGGGUGACCGGCCACCCGGGGACUGAGAGACGGCCCAGACUCCUACGGGAGGCAGCAGUGGGGAAUAUUGCACAAUGGGCGCAAGCCUGAUGCAGCGACGCCGCGUGAGGGAUGACGGCCUUCGGGUUGUAAACCUCUUUCAGCACCGACGAAGCGCAAGUGACGGUAGGUGCAGAAGAAGGACCGGCCAACUACGUGCCAGCCGCCGCCGUAA
RNAcentral lists this ribosomal RNA (478 nucleotides) under uncultured bacterium. RNAcentral describes it as "partial 16S ribosomal RNA". It matches the Rfam family "Bacterial small subunit ribosomal RNA", at positions 28 to 523 of the family's 1533-position model. The record is from RNAcentral.